UGUGUAGGCGGUUGCUUAAGUUUGGUGUGAAAUCUCCCGGCUCAACUGGGAGGGUGCGCCGAAUACUGAGUGACUCGAGUGCGGGAGAGGGAGAGUGGAAUUCCUGGUGUAGCGGUGAAAUGCGUAGAUAUCAGGAGGAACACCGGUGGUGUAGACGGCUCUCUGGACCGUAACUGACGCUGAGACACGAAAGCGUGGGUAGCAAACAGGAUUAGAUACCCUGGUAGUCCACGCCCUAAACGAUGCAUAUUUGGUGUAGGGCCGUUCACGUUCGGUCCGUGCCGGAGCUAACGCGUUAAAUAUGCCGCCUGGGGAGUACAGUCGCAAGGCUGAA
RNAcentral lists this ribosomal RNA (334 nucleotides) under uncultured bacterium. Its description in RNAcentral is "bacterial SSU rRNA". It matches the Rfam family "Bacterial small subunit ribosomal RNA", at positions 568 to 898 of the family's 1533-position model. The record is from RNAcentral.